RNAcentral lists this ribosomal RNA (254 nucleotides) under uncultured bacterium. RNAcentral describes it as "partial 16S ribosomal RNA". It matches the Rfam family "Bacterial small subunit ribosomal RNA", at positions 524 to 776 of the family's 1533-position model. The record is from RNAcentral.
UACGUAGGGUGCAAGCGUUAAUCGGAAUUACUGGGCGUAAAGCGUGCGCAGGCGGUUGUGUAAGACAGAUGUGAAAUCCCCCGGGCUCAACCUGGGAACUGCAUUUGUGACUGCACAGCUUGAGUGCGGCAGAGGGGGAUGGAAUUCCGCGUGUAGCAGUGAAAUGCGUAGAUAUGCGGAGGAACACCGAUGGCGAAGGCAAUCCCCUGGGCCUGCACUGACGCUCAUGCACGAAAGCGUGGGGAGCAAACAGG